UACGUAGGGGGCAAGCGUUAUCCGGAUUUACUGGGUGUAAAGGGAGCGUAGACGGUUAGACAAGUCAGAAGUGAAAACCCGGGGCUCAACUCCGGGACUGCUUUUGAAACUGUGUAACUGGAGUGCAGGAGAGGUAAGUGGAAUUCCUAGUGUAGCGGUGAAAUGCGUAGAUAUUAGGAGGAACACCAGUGGCGAAGGCGGCUUACUGGACUGUAACUGACGUUGAGGCUCGAAAGCGUGGGGAGCAAACAGG
RNAcentral lists this ribosomal RNA (253 nucleotides) under uncultured bacterium. RNAcentral describes it as "partial 16S ribosomal RNA". It matches the Rfam family "Bacterial small subunit ribosomal RNA", at positions 524 to 776 of the family's 1533-position model. The record is from RNAcentral.